UAGAUUUUUAAUCAUUCGUGCGAAACAGGCUUAAGGCCGGUUUUAUAUGUGGUCGCGUCGAAUGCAAUCGAGACAAUAGACAAUGAGAUGAUAAACCUCAUUAAGCUUCAUUAUCUAUUGUUUGAAUUGCAUUCAAUGCGACCGAAAUUCGACAAAUAAAACAGGCCUAAGUCGCGAGAAUAUCUUGUGCGCAUAAAUAUGGAUUUGAACUUGUGCUCUCCCCAGUUGACUCAAUACCUAACACUUCCGGAAAGUACUUAGCCUUGUCUAUAGAGCUCGUUGUCGGGAUUGAGAUAUCGGCAUUAUAGCUCUUUAUCUUAUUGCUGAUGACCUAAGUAAAUUUAGGUCUUUUAUAGUGUCUAAUAUAACUGCAUGAUUUCGUAAAUGUGUCCAUCUGUACCAAGAUAAAGACUCUAAAUCCAAUAUCUCAAAUCAUGAAAACGAGGCUAUAUAACCAAGGCUGAGUACUUUCAGGAAGGGUGUAUUGGUAGAGCGUCAGCCCGGUUCGCUGAAUACGCUCUCGUUCACAGAGAUGAAAGUCAUAUAGAGCGUUUCCACUCAUUCCCAGGGACCAACUCAACAAAAAAGCCAUAUGGCGCGGCCAUGUUGGUGUUCCAGACAAAAGAGUCUAAUUAAAAUUCUUUUGAAUUGGAACACCAACAUGGCGGCUGUGAUACGCUCAAAACAGUAACAAAUUGUAGAAGGGUUUUGAAUAGAUUUUGAGUGUGAAUUUUAUACAUUUAUUAGACCUAAGUAGCCAAACAAGGAGCAGUUGUUAAAAAUACAACUAUAGAUCCUCUGGCAGGAAUCGAGCCUGCGUAAAAUUCACACACGAAAUCUCCAUCCACAAAAUCCUUCUCCAAUCAGUUCUGUGCAGAAUACCCCAAAUCCUGAUCAUAGAUAUCUUAAAUACACUAGAUAGCGCAUCUCCUUUAGUAAAAUUGAAGCCAAGAAUAUUCCAGCGGUUACCCCAAUUUGAAUAGAUGGCGGCCAUGUUGGUAUUUCCCACUCGCUAAUAAACGCUUAAAAAACAACAAUAACUUUCAUCAUUUGAAUAAUUUGAAAAUGUAUUUGGAAUAGGUUUAACUUAAUGUUUAAGUUCCCUCUUUAAGAAAUAGAAAACAUACGAGUCUUCUCAUUUCAUGGGAAUAUCCUGAGCCUGCACUCACGGCUUCAAUUUUUGAAUUGCAGAAUAAUUAGAUGCACUAUCUAGUGUAUAUAAGAUAUCUAUGAUCCUGAUAUGCAGUAUAUAACUAGGUGUAGUACCUCCUAACAUACCUCAUAUAUUUUUAAAAUGUAAAAAUUUGGUGAUCUUGAUAAGAAAGUUUAAAUAAUCGACGUUUUUAACAAUCGUCUUGACUUAUUAGGGAAUUUAGUCUCCGUUCAAACCAUUGGUUCAAACCUGUUCCACAUGGUCAGUCCAACAAUGUCGGAUGAAAAUUUUGAAUAAAGUCAAUUUGUCAAAUCUGCUCCAACAUCAGCUGGCAUUCAUUAGCAAACAAAACGAAACAUAUCGUGUAUAAAAAGACCAAAAAAUGUUGAAUGAUCCUACUAAACAUGUCAUGAAAGCAGACCCAAAAAUAUCGUGUCGAAGUGUGGAACAAUGUCGGAUAAAAACUUUGAACAGAGUCAAACUUCAAACAGACCCAAAUAUUUUGCAUCUAACAAUACAGGGGCGAGUUGUUCAAAAACCGAUUAGCUUAACCCUAGGUUAACAAUUUGUUUUGAAAUUUGAAAAUAUUUUUUUCACAAAUCAUGUCUGGAUCAAUAGGAGUUUUCUUUUCUGACAUUUUGAAAUAAAUGGACAUGUAGAAAUAUGCAAACUAAAACAGCGGGCUAAAUUUUAAUCCUGGGUUAGCGCUAAUCCACCUUUGAACAACCGACCCCAGGAUGUAAUCUUUGAACAGUUUGUGUGAGUGUAGAUAGUGGUAAUAUUAAGAAAGUUUCAGAUUGAUAGGGAUACAACUAAAUGAAAAAUACAAGGAGAACUUGAAAGAUCUGUGUUAGUGUAGGUAGUGGUAAUAACAAGAAAGUUUCAGAUUGAUAGGGAUACAACCAAAUGAAAAAUACAAGGAGAACUUGAAAGAUCUGUGUCAGUGAAGGUAGUGGUAAUAAUAAGAAAGUUUCAGAUUGAUAGGGAUACAACUAAAUGAAAAAUACAAGGAGAACUUGAAAGAUCUGUACCAGUGUAUGUUGUGGUAAUAAUAAGAAAGAUUCAGAUUGAUAGGGAUACAACUAAAUGAAAAAUACAAGGAGAA
This 2258-nucleotide long non-coding RNA is filed under the name Paramuricea clavata. The record is from RNAcentral. Lineage: Eukaryota; Metazoa; Cnidaria; Anthozoa; Malacalcyonacea; Plexauridae.